UACGUACAAGCAGUGGGAGCACGCUUAGGCGUGUGACUGCGUACCUUUUGUAUAAUGGGUCAGCGACUUAUAUUCUGUAGCAAGGUUAACCGAAUAGGGGAGCCGAAGGGAAACCGAGUCUUAACUGGGCGUUAAGUUGCAGGGUAUAGACCCGAAACCCGGUGAUCUAGCCAUGGGCAGGUUGAAGGUUGGGUAACACUAACUGGAGGACCGAACCGACUAAUGUUGAAAAAUUAGCGGAUGACUUGUGGCUGGGGGUGAAAGGCCAAUCAAACCGGGAGAUAGCUGGUUCUCCCCGAAAGCUAUUUAGGUAGCGCCUCGUGAAUUCAUCUCCGGGGGUAGAGCACUGUUUCGGCAAGGGGGUCAUCCCGACUUACCAACCCGAUGCAAACUGCGAAUACCGGAGAAUGUUAUCACGGGAGACACACGGCGGGUGCUAACGUCCGUCGUGAAGAGGGAAACAACCCAGACCGCCAGCUAAGGUCCCAAAGUCAUGGUUAAGUGGGAAACGAUGUGGGAAGGCCCAGACAGCCAGGAUGUUGGCUUAGAAGCAGCCAUCAUUUAAAGAAAGCGUAAUAGCUCACUGGUCGAGUCGGCCUGCGCGGAAGAUGUAACGGGGCUAAACCAUGCAC
RNAcentral lists this ribosomal RNA (632 nucleotides) under Escherichia coli. RNAcentral's name for it is "partial 23S ribosomal RNA". It matches the Rfam family "Bacterial large subunit ribosomal RNA", at positions 561 to 1194 of the family's 2925-position model. The record is from RNAcentral. Lineage: Bacteria; Pseudomonadati; Pseudomonadota; Gammaproteobacteria; Enterobacterales; Enterobacteriaceae.